This 317-nucleotide long non-coding RNA is filed under the name Capsicum annuum. RNAcentral's name for it is "long non-coding RNA (CANN_LNC010482)". The record is from RNAcentral. Lineage: Eukaryota; Viridiplantae; Streptophyta; Magnoliopsida; Solanales; Solanaceae.
AAGGCAUCAGAAGAAGGAAAACUAAAAGGCAAACAAGCCACAACUAUCAUUUUAGCUAUUUCUUCUCGGUCCCUCAAUUUAUUAUAUUUCUUCGCUACGUGACCGGUUGCUGGGUCCAUUCUAGUUUGCGUUGGGCCACCAAUAUCCCCACCACCUUGUGAAAUAUUUAACUCUCUUUUGUGAUCUUCUGCUAUAUGUCUCAUUAACGUACCCAUAUCCCCUUGCUUGCCUCCACUUCUAUGCUUAUAUAUUUGUUGACAAAUAUUGCAUUGCACCUCAAUAUCUGAUAUAUGUUCAAAAAAUUGUCAUGCAACACU